CAAGUCGAGCGAACAGACGAGGAGCUUGCUCCUCUGACGUUAGCGGCGGACGGGUGAGUAACACGUGGAUAACCUACCUAUAAGACUGGGAUAACUUCGGGAAACCGGAGCUAAUACCGGAUAAUAUAUUGAACCGCAUGGUUCAAUAGUGAAAGACGGUUUUGCUGUCACUUAUAGAUGGAUCCGCGUCGCAUUAGCUAGUUGGUAAGGUAACGGCUUACCAAGGCAACGAUGCGUAGCCGACCUGAGAGGGUGAUCGGCCACACUGGAACUGAGACACGGUCCAGACUCCUACGGGAGGCAGCAGUAGGGAAUCUUCCGCAAUGGGCGAAAGCCUGACGGAGCAACGCCGCGUGAGUGAUGAAGGUCUUCGGAUCGUAAAACUCUGUUAUUAGGGAAGAACAAAUGUGUAAGUAACUAUGCACGUCUUGACGGUACCUAAUCAGAAAGCCACGGCUAACUACGUGCCAGCAGCCGCGGUAAUACGUAGGUGGCAAGCGUUAUCCGGAAUUAUUGGGCGUAAAGCGCGCGUAGGCGGUUUUUUAAGUCUGAUGUGAAAGCCCACGGCUCAACCGUGGAGGGUCAUUGGAAACUGAAAAACUUGAGUGCAGAAGAGGAAAGUGGAAUUCCAUGUGUAGCGGUGAAAUGCGCAGAGAUAUGGAGGAACACCAGUGGCGAAGGCGACUUUCUGGUCUGUAACUGACGCUGAUGUGCGAAAGCGUGGGGAUCA
Molecule: ribosomal RNA, 730 nt
Filed under: uncultured Staphylococcus sp.
Lineage: Bacteria; Bacillati; Bacillota; Bacilli; Caryophanales; Staphylococcaceae
Description: bacterial SSU rRNA
Rfam family: Bacterial small subunit ribosomal RNA
Source: RNAcentral